Molecule: ribosomal RNA, 120 nt
Filed under: uncultured bacterium
Lineage: Bacteria
Description: partial 16S ribosomal RNA
Rfam family: Bacterial small subunit ribosomal RNA
Source: RNAcentral
GACGAACGCUGGCGGCGUGCUUAACACAUGCAAGUCGAGCGAGGUCCAACUGGUGGCAACACCAGGGAAGACCGAGCGGCGAACGGGUGAGUAACACGUGAGCAACCUGUCCCGAAGACC